Molecule: unclassified non-coding RNA, 765 nt
Filed under: Hevea brasiliensis (rubber tree)
Lineage: Eukaryota; Viridiplantae; Streptophyta; Magnoliopsida; Malpighiales; Euphorbiaceae
Source: RNAcentral
AUGCACAGAUAUUGAUGAAUGCAAAGAUCCAACAUAUGGUCAGUGUCAAGGAAUAUUAAGAUGUGUAAAUACUCGUGGAUCUUACAAAUGUGUACCAGAUGCAAAAUGGAUUAUCAUUUUUGGUCUUUGCGCUGGCAUUAUAGUAUUGUUUGUACUCAUACUUGGCGCAAGAUGUUUAUAUAAAUCAGUAAAGAAAAGAAACAACAUCAGGAGGAGGGAAAAGUUCUUCAAAAGAAUGUUACAGCAACAAAUAAGUUCAAGCCAAGGCAAUGUUGAGAAGGCCAAAAUAUUUAGCUUAAAAGAGUUGGAAAAGGCAACUGAUCACUUCAAUGUGAAUAGAAUUAUAGGCCAAGGUGGCCAGGGUACUGUUUACAAAGGAAUGUUGGCGGAUGGAAGAAUUGUAGCAGUUAAGAAAUCCAAGAUAGUAGAUGAAGCAAAAGUUGAACAUUUCAUUAAUGAAGUUGUGAUUUUAUCACUUAUUAAUCACAGAAAUGUGGUAAAGCUACUUGGAUGUUGCUUGGAGGCAGAAGUUCCUCUGCUUAUCUAUGAGUUCGUCUCUAAUGGAACACUUUUUCAGUAUCUGCAUGAACAAGAUGAGGAAUUUCCAUUAUCAUGGGCAACUCGUUUGCAAAUUGCUACAGAAAUUUCAGGAGCACUUUCCUAUUUGCACUCUGCAGCACCUAUACCAAUAUUUCAUCGGGACAUCAAGUCAAAAAAUAUACUCUUGGAUGAAAAGUAUAAGGCAAAAGUAUCAGAUUUUGGAAU